UAAUACGUAGGGUGCAAGCGUUGUCCGGAAUUAUUGGGCGUAAAGAGCUCGUAGGCGGUUUGUCACGUCGGAUGUGAAAUCCCGGGGCUUAACCUCGGGUCUGCAUUCGAUACGGGCUGACUAGAGUUCGGUAGGGGAGACUGGAAUUCCUGGUGUAGCGGUGAAAUGCGCAGAUAUCAGGAGGAACACCGGUGGCGAAGGCGGGUCUCUGGGCCGAUACUGACGCUGAGGAGCGAAAGCGUGGGGAGCGAACAGGAUUAGAUACCCUGGUAGUCCACGCCGUAAACGUUGGGCGCUAGGUGUGGGUUCCCUUCCACGGGAUCCGUGCCGCAGCUAACGCAUUAAGCGCCCCGCCUGGGGAGUACGGCCGCAAGGCUA
This 378-nucleotide ribosomal RNA is filed under the name uncultured bacterium. RNAcentral describes it as "bacterial SSU rRNA". It matches the Rfam family "Bacterial small subunit ribosomal RNA", at positions 521 to 896 of the family's 1533-position model. The record is from RNAcentral.